Molecule: ribosomal RNA, 327 nt
Filed under: uncultured bacterium
Lineage: Bacteria
Description: bacterial SSU rRNA
Rfam family: Bacterial small subunit ribosomal RNA
Source: RNAcentral
GACGAACGCUGGCGGCGUGCUUAACACAUGCAAGUCGAACGAAGAAGGUUAGAAUGAGAGCUUCGGCAGGAUUUCUUUCCAUCUUAGUGGCGGACGGGUGAGUAACGUGUGGGCAACCUGCCCUGUACUGGGGAAUAAUCAUUGGAAACGAUGACUAAUACCGCAUGUGGUCCUCGGAAGGCAUCUUCUGAGGAAGAAAGGAUUUAUUCGGUACAGGAUGGGCCCGCAUCUGAUUAGCUAGUUGGUGAGAUAACAGCCCACCAAGGCGACGAUCAGUAGCCGACCUGAGAGGGUGAUCGGCCACAUUGGGACUGAGACACGGCCCAA